UCUUUGGUUACAUCUUCUGACAUCAGACUCGGACUUCUCUUGAACUGAAUUUUAAUGUGCGUAUUGUUAUGUUUUUUUCUUUUCUACAUUGGCUAGAGGUAUAGUGGGAGGGUUGAGAUCUCACAAACAUGUUUAACCCCGCCGCAUUUUUGCGCCUGUCCCAAGUCAGGAGCCUCUGGCCUUUGUUAGUCUUGUAUUAUUUUAAUUUUAGUUUCUUGUGUACAAUUUGGAAAUUAGUAUGGCGUUCAUUAUCACUGAACUAGUAUAUAUUUGUUUAGAGGCCAGCUGAAGGACGCCUCCGGGUGCGGGAAUUUCUCGCUACAUUGAAGACCUGUUGGUGACCUUCUGCUGUUGUUUUUUUUUUUCUAUGGUCGGGUUGUUGUCUCUUUGGUACAUUCCCCAUUUCCCUUCUCAAUUUUAUA
Molecule: long non-coding RNA, 422 nt
Filed under: Mytilus galloprovincialis (Mediterranean mussel)
Lineage: Eukaryota; Metazoa; Mollusca; Bivalvia; Mytilida; Mytilidae
Source: RNAcentral